GAAAUUGCUAUGAAGAGAAAGAGUAGUUAAAUUAUUUCUUUCACAGAGAACCCCGUUAGCUGAAAAGGGGUAAAGAAAUGUCUUUCGAACAUGGUCUCUGAGCUGCACAUCGAACCCUUUAUAGGAAGUAGGUUGUGCUGGGUGCACCCAUUAUUGUGCUAGGGUAUAACCAUCAAUGAAUUGGUGUCGUACCUGAAAAGUUCAAUAUCGUGAGGUAUUGAUAAAUUUGGGUGGUAACACGUGAGGAUAAAACUCUCGUCCCUUUU
Paenibacillus wynnii is the source of this 266-nucleotide regulatory RNA element. It matches the Rfam family "T-box leader". From Rfam's summary of the family: Uncharged tRNA acts as the effector for transcription antitermination of genes in the T-box leader family. T-boxes are found upstream of many aminoacyl-tRNA synthetase genes and some amino acid biosynthetic genes usually in Gram-positive bacteria. The record is from Rfam. NCBI's taxonomy places the organism in Bacteria, Bacillati, Bacillota, Bacilli, Caryophanales, Paenibacillaceae.